CCAGAGGCACAAUCGGCGGUGGCACAGCUGAACUUUCCAUUGUUGUUGAAGCAUCCGGUUCGGCCCCAAAAUCGACCAGACCAUGGUGAUGGAAGGUCCACUGAAAUAGUAACUCCAGAUCCCAACUCGAAACCUGUCGUUGAUAGCUGAGGUUUUUGGUCUCCGGUUAACGUUCCUGGCCAUACAGUGUAUUCACACCUAUUUGUGAACGUCACCUUAGCUCCUCCAACCACUGCAUAUACAAAUACAAAUGAAUUUAGUAAGCGCAUGAAGAGAAAUUAACUUAGCUAAGUGAAUUGAUUAAUUAUAUGGAAAAUUAAUGUAGUUAUGUAUUGAUAUAUGUACGUACCGUAGAAGAGGAAUGCAAAACUAAGGCACAGAGCAACACGGGUGCUUGUCAUUUUGGAUAUGGCUUUUGAUUAAUCUUGUUUUGCAGGCUUGUGAAUAUAUAUUAAUUAGUGAGAGUUUUUCGAUUGUAGUUUGUUGUGUGAAGGUGAUUUGAUGAAGUUGCUCUCUGCUUCUUUACAUAUAUAUAGAUUUCUAUCGAUGGUUUGAAUCGUCAUUCAACGAAUGUUUUAUUUGUUCUGGUCAAUAAAAAUAAAUUAUGUAUAGUAUUUGGUAACUUAUAUGGAACAAUUCUUAUAUUUAAGCCUCCAUGGAUCGGAAAAGUCUCAAAUAAUUUUUUUAGUAGUACUUUGGUCCGGUGUACGUAUUUUAGUGUUAGAUAUACAUAUUAAAAUUACAAAAAAGAAAGAAAAAAAAAAUCUGAAGUUGAUAUUGAGGUUGUUUGAUGAUUUUCUUAUAAUUUUAUGUGUAGCAAUCAUUCAACAUCAUCAUAUUCUACCCUAUAAAAUUAACUUUAAAAACCUAAUAUUUAUUUUUUCUAAGAUCUUUGUAAUACUAAUAUAUUACUAUAUAAAUUAGUUUUCUAUUUAUUUUACGAAUACUAUAUAAAUUAGUUGCUUUUUCUUCUCUUUGUCGACAAUUUUUUUCUUGCUGAAUACUAAGAUAUUCCUUUGUUGGCAUUUGUUGGCAUUAUCUUUGUUGUGUCGACUUUGUCAACCAAUAGAAAUGGACACCAAUUUUUGCUUUUAUAAUGGUGGCAAACGUUGCAGCAGACAAUUAUUGAUACUGGAGAAAUAUUCACCAAUGGAUGCUCAUUGGUUUUCUAUUGAAGUAGGAGAAUUUUAGUAGUUUCGGAUCAACUUGAGAAAGACCUUUUUAAAAUAAAUCUAAGACAAAUCACAUUUUCUAUUCUUCUUAUUUGUUUGUAAUAUUAGAUUAGGCAUCUCUAAUAGGUUUAUCUUUAUCUUUAGAGAUUUACUUUUCCCACCUUACUGCUUUCUCGCGCGCCCUGCAAAAAUUUCAAAAAUAUCUCUGAUCCGGGCUAUAUAAUCAGGACAAUAUUGUUAUUGAUUUCCGGAAAACGAAAUUCGGACCAUAUUGUUAUGUGCUUUUUAGUGUCUUUCUUUGAUGUCAAGGGUCUCUGUUGAUCGUUAUAUGAACGCCACACAAGCUGCAAUGCAAUUGCAGGGUUCAUAUGAACGGUCAACAAUCACCAAGACACCACCGACACCCCUAAAAAACUAAAAACAUUUGAAGAAAAUGGAAGAAAAGAGGUGAAGUGAAGAAUGAAAGUAUUUUUUGAAGAUGAAAGCCUAUUUAUAGCCUAAAACAAGUCCUAGGUCAUUAGUACAAUCAAUGAAAACGUGUUAGUGGUUGUAACCGUCCAAACAUACAUUAAUGACUCCACACAAAAGAAUCCAAUGCUGAAGCUUUCCAGAUUAUACAUUCUGGAAUUUCCUUAACCCUACAAGAAGUGCAAACUUUUCUCUUGUUCACCAGUAUCGUAUUAAUCCGGAAAAUAUAUUCUGGAAAACAAAGGUACAUUCCAGAUUAUAUUUUCCGGACUGCAUCAGUAUCAUGGCCGAUGGUUUGCACCACAUGUUUUUGUCGGUGGUCAAGUAAAAAAACGUGUUUUACCACGUUUUUUAACUACAUUUAUAUGACCUCCCAGCCGUUUUUGACCCACCCUCCCUAUAAAUAGCCUUCCAAACCCCACCAUUUCUCACACCAUCCUCUCCCACCCUCUCCUCCUCUUCUUCCUUCUACAACGUCCAUGGUUUUCCAUCGUUGGCCUUUCAUAGAUAAGGGUCUCGUUGAAAACUUUAAGGGUUUGUAUGAACGGUCAAUGAGGAUGGAACCGCGCUGCAAAAAAGUGCGGUUCAUCUGGGGGUCAUGUGGGUCAGUGUGGUUCUUAGCUUGGCAUGUCUAGGCAUAAGUUUGAGCACCCCCUACCACCCUCAGGGGCAUUGUUUUCUUCUUCCCGCCCUCCUCUUCCCUCCUCCCCUGGUUGCCCUCCAACAAGGAAGCUAUUGGUAUGUCCUAUCACAUACAAGUGGUUAGGCUCUUAGGAGAUUAAAAAUUGAUUUAGGUUCUUAUGUAAUAAGCUUAAAAAGCUUCAACGUUAUUGUAAUGUAUUGUUCAUAUAUUAAUAAAAUGAGUUUUUUUUUUAUAUUUUUUUUUAUCUUUUUGUCUUUUUUUUUUUGGUUUAUAUGUUUAUUUGCAUUUAUUUGACGAAUUUCAAAGCUUAAAAUUGAAAAAGUUAUGGAAAAAGACCUUUCCGAAUUUUAAUAUCCGGAUUAAUCUGCAAAAUUCUAACAAUCAUUUUCAAAAAAUAUAAUCCGGACUAGGGAAAAGUAAAUCUUUUAUCUUUAUAAUAACAUUCAAAGAGUUCCGUAAAAAUGACUUAAUCCAAAAUAAGUGUUCCUAAGCACACCCUCAUUAGAAUCUUCCCAUGUGACAAUCACCCCACCAAGAUAAAGAGAUAACAAUUUUGACAUUUUAUAACAUAAAGAUUUAAAUCGGGAAAAUAAUAAUAAGAUAAAUGACGAAUGUAUUACCUAAUUAUAACAAAAAUAAUUAAAUCGAGAAAUAAAGAUAAAAAAUGAAAAUGUUAUAUAAAAUUAUGUUAAGCAACAAAUUGUGUAAUUUUGUUUAGAAUUUUAAUUGUCCCUAAUUCCUAAAAAGCUGUUGAAUAUUAGAAUCAAUCAUGCACUCUUCAAUAUGAUACAUACAAUAAUAGUACACUAUGCCUCCAAGUACAAUGGGCCUCCUUAUUGGAAUCAAUCUUUACACUUCUUAAAUUUCUCUUUUUUUUUUCAACUUUUGUUGGUCCAACGGCAGUUAAUUGUCGUUCGGCUAUCCAUUAUCAGUUAACCGUCGUUUGGUACUUUAGAUCGGUUUUCUAGCUUAAUGCAACCCAAAUCAACCAAACUUUAUGAGAAUGCGAAUCUUUUCCCAAGAAAUUGAAUGGGAUUCGGUUUAUAUUCUAAUUAUUUCCCAAAAUUAAUCCUGCAUUUUCUAUUUAUUUAUCACAAAUAUGCAUAGAUAACAAAAUUGAUUGCAUAACAUAUGUAGAAAUUGCUUGGAUAACUGAUUUAGCUAAAAUAAUCCUUCCUACAAAAGAGAAGGUUUUUGACUUCCAUUUACUUAGCCGCUCGUCCACCUUUUCAAUAAUGAACUGAAAUGAUCUCUUGAGCACUCUUUUGCGAAAGAGGGCCACAACCAAGUAUUUUCUAUGAUCUUUGGUGCUAUGGAAACCAGCAACUUCACAAAUUUGCAGAAGGAGGUUCCACAUAACAUUCAUGGAGAAGAAAAAUCCAGUCUUGUCCUUGCUCAAUUUUUGAUGCCUACAAAAUAAAUCCAAAAUAAUGUUAAUAUAAUUAAUCAGCUCCAAAUUUGCUUAAAAAAAUAGGAGCAAAUAAUCCAAAAAUGCUAAAUGUUCUAAUUUUGGAGCACCUCUAUUAAUUUGAAUUGGUUUCCACAUGUCUUUCUGCACCGCCAAAUUUAUCAGAUGGAAAAGUCUCUAAAUGCACAGGACAAAAGGAUAUGGUGAUAGAGGAUCUCCAUGACGGAUUCCCAUAGACGGAAAUAAACAAUUAGGGCUUUCUCAUUCCAAAGCUACUGUAUCCUUGCUGUUGAAAUACACAUGUAUACACAAGUAAAAAGUGUGCAUUUACACUUAAAUUGUUAAAUGUUUCACUCAAUCCAUAAAAUAUACUAACAUCUAUGUCAACGUAAACAUACAUCCAAGCAUAUUCAUAAGAUAAUAUCAAGCAUGGAUCACUAAGGAAUUUAUCAGGAUUACAAUGAGGCUGAUCUACAAAAAAAUCAUUGUUUUUCUAGAUAGCGAUCAAGAAGCUUAAGAAUAAGGGAGCAUUUAUUUCCUAUGUACAUAAAUAUAUAAUCCUAUAUACAACCAAUUAUAAACUAUAUACAACAUACACAACUUCUAUAUACAAAAAUCUACAAAUCCCUUAAUUUCUUGCAAAUAACCUUAUUUGGAGUAAGAAAUGGUCGUUAAUAAAAAGCAUCAAGUCAGUGUAGACUAAAACUUUGCCAACUCCAGCUCAACCCCUUCUUCAACUUCUGGAUCUAGCCAAGCAAGUCUACCGAUUUGAGCUACUGCAAAUUCAAAAUUCGGUCUGCACCAUGCAAAAGGUGGAAUACCAAAUACCUCAAGACAUACACUUCUUCUCCUUUGACCGUUUCUAACAGUGAGGCACUUGCUCUCCAUUGUUUCUUCCAACACCUUGAGAGUCACUUUGAUGUUUGCAACACAUGAGAAGCUUGCUAGAAACUUAAACUCUCUAAUGCUCCUAACCUUUUCUGCACAGAGUUUCCAUCUCCCAAGCAUUUACAUGACUUCUUAUGAUGUUAUAGAGUUUCCUCACUUUUGUACCAAAAAAAUACGGAACACUAAAUUUGGUAAUAUAAAAUAAAUUUCUCUUCCGCGAGUGGUUUCUCCGGACAAAAAUACUUGAUUGAUAGAAAUGUUAGGAUAGUUAGAGCUUAGCUGUUUUAGUCUUUGUUGUUUUAGCCUAUGUCUCUUGAGAUUACUUGUAAUGCAAGUCAUCUAGCCUUGAGCUUUCCAUCUUGAUGCUUAGCUAUAAAUAAGCUCCCCUUUGUAGUUUGAGAUAAUGAAUGAAAUCAAUAUUUUCACAUUACAAGAAAACAGGCUGAUAUGACCCGCUGUGACAUUCAACUAUUUAUCGCGUUACAAUUUAUAUGACUUAUGAUAUUAAGGAAAAGAAACCCUGUGAUAAUUUUGAUAUUGAUUCAUUAAGGAAAAGAACUUAUGAUAUAAAACAAAGUUCUUUGCAAUACAGAAACUUAAUGCAUUUAUUUGUUAUACAACUUUUUAUGCAGUUGGUUAUAUUUUAAAAUGUUCGUUGAAAAGACCAUAUAAAUAAAAUGAUAAAAUCAUUUGCAGUUGCAGCUCAUAACAUAAGGAGAAGAACCCAAAUAAUAACUUCAUGAAUUUAAUAAUUUAUCAAAAAAUGUAAAAUACAAUAAUAAAUGAAAGCACGCUAUGUUUUGAUUUAUACUUGUGGUUUAUACUAUACCACAAGUUUGUGUGUAUAUGUGCACAUUUAUAUAUGUGCUCUUAUUUUAUAUAAAGACAUAAGUUCAAUAAUUUAAAAUGGCAUAUUUGUUUGGUCAUGGAGUUCAAGCUGAUGGACAGAAGGUGAUGGCGUAGUCGGGUCUUGCAAAGCAAGUGAAAGUGCUGCUCUUAUCGUCGUAAGCAUAGCUAUAAGCACCGGGGCAUUGGUUCUUGAAAAUCAUAGAGUAGUUUGUGGGUGGACAUUUUUCUUCAGUAUUGAAAUCUCCACGACAACAAUAUUUAUCUUCAUUUAAAGCCAAACAAGCACUCUUACAGGCAAUCACACUCCCAUCAGUACCAAUAACUUGGAGCUCUGAAGGGCACACAACAUUAAUGUUCCCUGGACAACUGGAGGUUUUGCAGUCACCACUCCCACCUUGUGGCGUUACAGACAUUGGCACGUUGAAUCCGUCCACAUUGCUCACAUCGUAGAAGUCUUGUCCCCCGUCUGUUGCUACCGUUAUUUCUACCAAUGUUGCUGGUGGGAUUGCCCCAGCACCGUUGCAACCGACUUGACCAGAGGCACAAUCGGCGGUGGCACAGCUGAACUUUCCAUUGUUGUUGAAGCAUCCGGUUCGGCCCCAAAAUCUACCCGACCAUGGUGAUGGAAGGUCCACUGAAAUAGUAACUCCAGAUCCCAACUCGAAACCUGUCGUUGAUAGCUGAGGUUUUUGGUCUCCGGUUAACGUUCCUGGCCAUACAGUGUAUUCACACCUAUUUGUGAAAGUCACCUUAGCUCCUCCAACCACUGCAUAUACAAAUACAAAUGAAUUUAAUAAGCGCAUGAAGAGAAAUUAACUUAGCUAAGUGAAUUGAUUAAUUAUAUGGAAAAUUAAUGUAGUUAUGUAU
RNAcentral lists this long non-coding RNA (6295 nucleotides) under Medicago truncatula (barrel medic). Its description in RNAcentral is "long non-coding RNA (MTRU_LNC003654)". The record is from RNAcentral. Lineage: Eukaryota; Viridiplantae; Streptophyta; Magnoliopsida; Fabales; Fabaceae.